Salvelinus fontinalis (brook trout) is the source of this 413-nucleotide long non-coding RNA. RefSeq lists it as uncharacterized. Lineage: Eukaryota; Metazoa; Chordata; Actinopteri; Salmoniformes; Salmonidae. The record is from RefSeq and is a predicted model, not a curated record. The transcript is spliced from 3 exons.
GGCGCGAGAGUGCAUCUUUUGCCGACGCCUCAGAAAGUCACUCUGUGGUAGUGUUGUUGUUGUCAGCGAAGGCACAUUCAAACUCAACAGAAUCACCUAAUUAGUCUGAUAAAUUUGCGGGCGAAGCCACAUGUUGAGAGGAUUUUCCGAAGGCUGUCUCUUUGCACGAUGUGGAAGUGAAUCCAGGUCUUCAUAUCAUCAAGAUCAUUUGUUUGUGCACUGAGAGAAAGCAAAAGCAUAUACAGUCGACCCUCUACCUCCCCAUUGCCACCAGCUGAAGGUCACGUCUUCUGGUCCUCUUUCAAACAGCUGGAGGGGUUCUGAUGCUAGCUUUCCAUCAAAUGGCUACCUGCCAUCCUGCCGCCUGACUCCGGGGAUCGUCCUCCGGAAUAUGGGUUCACCCCCCCCCCCCC